This 253-nucleotide ribosomal RNA is filed under the name uncultured bacterium. RNAcentral's name for it is "partial 16S ribosomal RNA". It matches the Rfam family "Bacterial small subunit ribosomal RNA", at positions 524 to 776 of the family's 1533-position model. The record is from RNAcentral.
UACAGAGGUCUCAAGCGUUGUUCGGAUUUAUUGGGCGUAAAGCGCGUGUAGGCGGCCCUGCAAGUCGGAUGUGAAAUCCCACGGCUCAACCGUGGAAGUGCAUUCGAAACUGCAGGGCUAGAGUCCUGGAGAGGAAGGUGGAAUGCUUGGUGUAGAGGUGAAAUUCGUAGAUAUCAAGCGGAACACCGGUGGCGAAGGCGGCCUUCUGGACAGUGACUGACGCUGAGACGCGAAAGCGUGGGGAGCAAACAGG